RNAcentral lists this ribosomal RNA (486 nucleotides) under uncultured bacterium. Its description in RNAcentral is "partial 16S ribosomal RNA". It matches the Rfam family "Bacterial small subunit ribosomal RNA", at positions 29 to 507 of the family's 1533-position model. The record is from RNAcentral.
AUUGAACGCUGGCGGCAUGCCUUACACAUGCAAGUCGAACGGCAGCACGGGUGCUUGCACCUGGUGGCGAGUGGCGAACGGGUGAGUAAUACAUCGGAACAUGUCCUGUAGUGGGGGAUAGCCCGGCGAAAGCCGGAUUAAUACCGCAUACGAUCUACGGAUGAAAGCGGGGGACGUUCGGGCCUCGCGCUAUAGGGUUGGCCGAUGGCGGAUUAGGUAGUUGGUGGGGUAAAGGCCCAACCAGGCGACGAUCAGGAGCUGGUCCGAGAGGACGACCAGCCCCACUGGAAACUAGACACGGUCCAGAACCCUAAGGGAGGCAGCAGUGGGGAAUAUUGGACAAUGGGGGGAAGCCCUAUCCCACCAUACCGCGUGGUGGAAAAAGGCCUUCGGGUUUUAAAGCCAUUUUGUUCGGAAAGAAAAUCCUUAGCCUAAUACCGGGCGGGGGUGACGGUACCCGAAGAAUAAGCCCCGGCCAACUUCGUG